Molecule: RNA transcript, 7698 nt
Organism: Heterocephalus glaber (naked mole-rat)
Lineage: Eukaryota; Metazoa; Chordata; Mammalia; Rodentia; Bathyergidae
Gene: Tap2
Gene name: transporter 2, ATP binding cassette subfamily B member
Source: RefSeq, a predicted model, not a curated record
GCAGCUGUCAGAAGCGAAAGCGAAACCGUUGAGCCUUGUCAGGAGAGACCCUGGCGGACCGAGGGGAGAGCUGAGAGGGUGAGCAGCUCUAGGCUCAGCGCUCGACGGGAAGCCCUCUGAGCAGCGCCCCCCGCCCCGCGGAUCCUGGGCGCCAUGCGGCUCCCUGACCCGCGGCCCUGGGCCUCCCUGCUGCUGGUGGACUUGGCCUUGCUCUGGCUGCUAGAGGGGGCGCUGGGGGCUCUGCUUCCCCGAGGGCUCCUGGGACUGUGGCUGGAGGGGGCCCUGCGGCUUGGGGGGCUGUGGGGGCUGCUAAAGCUGGGAGGUCUGCUGGGAUUUCGGGGGGCCUUGCUGGCCCCGCUCUGCCUGGCGACGCCCCUGUUCCUCUCCCUGGGAGCCCUGGUGGGAGGGACCCCGAGGGCGCCCCCCGUCAGAGUGGCCGGGGCCUCCCGGAGCUGGCUGCUGGCCGGGUACGCGGCUGCAGGGCUGAGCCGGGCCGCGUGGGCUGGGAUGAGCCCCCCGGGAGCCCCGGCGAGGGCGCCCGGCCUGGAGAAGAACCGAGCACUGGUGUGCAGGCUGCUGCGGCUCUCCGCGCCCGACCUGCCCUUGCUGGCGGCCGCCUUCUCCUUCCUGGCGGCUGCCGUGUUGGGGGAGAUGCUGAUCCCUCACUAUUCUGGCCGCGUCAUCGACAUCCUGGGGGCGGAUUUUGACCCCGACGCCUUUGCCAGCGCCGUCUUCCUCAUGUGCCUGUUCUCCGUCGGGAGCUCACUGUCUGGAGGCUUCCGAGGAGGCUUCUUUACCCUCAUCAUGUCCAGAAUCAACCUGCGGAUCCGAGAGAAGCUUUUCUCCUCCCUGCUGCGUCAGGACCUCGGCUUCUUCCAGGAGACUAAGACAGGGGAGCUGCACUCCAGGCUGAGCUCGGACACCACCCUCAUGAGCUUCUGGCUUCCUUUAAACGCCAACAUCAUCCUCCGGAGCCUGGUCAAAGUGGUGGGGCUGUACGGCUUCAUGUUCACCAUUUCGCCACGCCUCACCCUCCUGUCUCUGCUCGACCUGCCCGUGAUGCUGACUGCUGAUAAGGUGUACACCACUCGCCGGCAGGCCCUGCUGCUGGAGAUCCAGGACGCAGUGGCCAAGGCAGGGCAGGUGGUGCGGGAGGCAGUUGGAGGGCUGCAGACCGUGCGCAGUUUUGGGGCCGAGGAGCUUGAGGUCUGGCGCUAUAAGGAGGCCCUGGAGCGAUGCCGGCAGCUGUGGUGGCGUCGAGACCUGGAAAAAGGCCUGUACGAUCUGGUCAGGAAGCUGCUGAACCUGGGAGCGCAGGUGCUGGUGCUGAGCUGUGGGCUGCAGCAGAUCGCGGCCGGCGAGAUCACCCGCGGUGCGCUGCUGUCCUUUCUGCUCUACCGCAAGGACGUGGGGCCCUAUGUGCACUCCUUGGUGUACAGGUACGGGGACAUGCUAAGCAACGUGGGAGCUGCUGAGAAAGUGUUUUCCUACCUGGACAGAGAGCCCCGGCUGCCUCAGCCCGGGACACUGGCCCCUGCGGCGAUUCGGGGCCUCGUGGAAUUCAGAGAUGUCUCCUUUGCAUAUCCCAGUCGCCCUGACCAGCCGGUGCUCCAGGGCCUGACAUUCACCCUGCGUCCCGGGGAGGUGACGGCCCUGGUGGGACCCAAUGGCUCUGGGAAGAGCACCGUGGCUACCCUGCUGCAGAAUCUGUACCAGCCCACGAAGGGCCAGGUGCUGCUGGACGAGAAUCCUGUCUCAGAAUACGAGCACCACUACCUGCACAGACAGGUGUCUGUGGUCGGCCAGGAGCCUGUGCUGUUCUCAGGCUCUGUGAGGGACAACAUCACCUACGGGCUGCAGAGCUGUGAGGACGCUAAGGUGGUGGCUGCUGCCCAGGAGGCCCUUGCCUACCGCUUCAUAGAGGAGCUGCCGGACGGAAUGCACACGGAUGUAGGUGAGAAAGGGAGCCAGUUGGCUGUGGGGCAGAAACAGUGUCUGGCCGUCGCCCGGGCCCUUGUGCGGGACCCACGCGUCCUCAUCCUGGAUGAGGCCACCAGUGGCCUGGACGUCUGCUGUGAGCAAGCUAUAAUCCUAUGAAGCAGAGAAUACUAUCCUAAUUCUAGGAAUGAGAAAAUGGAGUUUUAGACUGGGUUACACAGGUCAUGAUGGCCAGGAAGCAGAGAGAGACGAGUGGAUCUAGGGAAGGAGAUAAUCUUUCUAGUCAUACCAUGACCCUCUUCUAACCAGGUGCCACCUCCUAACAGCACACUCAGCUGUUCAACUCAUUGGUGGACAAAUCCACAGAUGAGUAUUGCACUCUCAUGGUCUGAUCACUUUCCACAAGACUUGCUCUGCAUGCAUGAGAGUUUAGGGGACAUUCUAGAUGUAAACUCUAACAUUCUGCCCCGGCCCCUGGCCAUCUCUUAAUGCAAAAUGCAUUUAGUCCAUCAACCUUUUAACAAUACCAACAUUACUGGAAAGCACAAGUCCUAAGCCUCCUCUGAGACUCAAGAGGAGCCCCUGUUACAAUAAAACAGAAACUUAGCUGUGAGGCUCUGUUACAAUAAAAAAGAAUGUUAGAACACAAUAUACAGUGGCACAGGAUAAGUGUUCCCAUUGCAAAAGGGAGAAAUAAGGGAAUAUAUAGAAAUGAGACCAAAGGAAGACAAAAACCCACCAGGGCAAACAUUAAAUCCUGUAGCUCUGUGACUGGACCCUGGGUAAGUUGUGACAGGUGAUCUUCAAAAGGCUUGGGAGUCUUGCUCCUAUGGUGUUGCUUGUAGCAAGUCUCUUGGUCUCUCUCUUGGAGUGACUCCACUCAGAGCCUCUGUCUUUCCUUAGCAGAUACUCCGUGUUUCUGUUAUCCCCAACUUCCCGGGUCUCCACUGUAGUUUCAGCUUCACUCUCACAGCUUCACACACUGCCCUCUCAAGGCACACUGCCUAGUCUCCAGAAUCUUCUUCUGAAAUGCGGGUGGAAGUCUCCCUGACACCACAAUUCUUGCAUUCUGCCUUCUUGUUAAACUGGGACCAACCACAUGGAUGAUGCCUUAGUCUGCCCCUAGCUCUAGCAGUAGCCAGGAUCCCUUGGAUCAUGGCUAUAACAACCUAUGAAUGCCUGGAUACUUGAACUCCAGGAAACCUGGAGUUUGAGUUGGCCUUGAAUGAACUGGGUGGGCUCCCUGGAAAUUCUUUCUCAAUACAAAGUUUUUCACUUUUGCACUUUUAAGCCAAGGAAGGCUGGGGUCUUGCUGAUUCCUGAGAUGUCCUCAAAGCAUCUUUCCUUUUGUCCUGAUACAAAGUACUUGGCUUCUUUUUAAUGCUAAACUGUUCAGCAGCCCCAACUUUACAGGCCCAGACUUUACAGGUGCUUCCUUUCUGGCCAUCAGGGACAAAUUUCAAAUUAGUCAUUCCUGCUUUUUGGUCCUUAUUAUCACCAUAGAUAUGGCUCAAAGCAGCCAGCAAAUCCCUUGCCACAGACUCAGUGUUGGGCUACCUGGGACUUCCUCAUUCAGAUUAAUUAGCCCAUCACUUUUGAUUUCCCACAACGUCUUGGAACAAAAAUAGAGACAAAUUUUCUGCCAGAGCAUAACACACAUGGCCUUGGAUCCAGUUGCCAAUGGAGUCCUUGUUGCCAGCUGAAACUUCCUGAGCCCAGCCUUUACUGUUCACAUUUCUAUUGGGAUUCUGGUCUUCUGAGCUCUGACCAGAAGAAUCUCCCAUCAAUCUGGUUUGGCUCGCGGCAUUCUAGGGCUUCUCUAGCUGGGAUCUCCAAACCUUUUCAAACUGCUCCCAUAAACCAGUUCCAAUUUUUUCUCAACCAAAUGGUCAGGUAGAGUCAUAUCAACAACCCUAGUUCCUUGGUACCAAAGUCUAUCUUAGUCACUUCCUUCAUUGGUGAGACAAAAUCCCUGAUACCCACAACUUAAAUGAGGAGAGGUUUAUUUGGGCUCAUGGUUUUUUGAGGCAUUAGUCCAUAGUUGGCUGGCUCCAAGACAGAAUGGCAUAGCAUAAGGGAGGAGUGGAGGAAAGCUCCUCACUUCAUGGUGGCCAGGGAGAAGAGAGGAAGGAGGAGCCGUGGAGGAAGGUAUACCUUUCCUAGUCACACCCUCAGUGACCCUUCUCUAACAAGAACCUACCUCCUAACAACACAUUCAGCUGCUCAACUCAUUAAUGAAUGAAUCAGUUGAUGAAUAUAACACUCUCAUAAUCCAGUCAUGUAUUACAAGGCCUGCCUCUGCAUGCAUGAGGGUUUUGGGGGAACAUUCAUGAUCUAAACCCUAACACCUUGCUAAGUAUCUGAAAAGCUACAAUUUAAAUAAGCACAAGGAAAGCAUAGUGAAAGAUUAAAAAAAAAGAAAUACUCAUAUUAACAGUGUACAUAGUAGAAGAGAAUAAUGUUUUGGUCCAUUUUGUGUUGUUAUAAAAAGAUGCUGAAGUCUGGGUAUUAUAUAAAGAAAAGAGGUUUAUUUAACUCAUAGUUCUGGAAAUCCAAGAGCACUGUGCUGGCAUCCCAGCUGGGCUCCCCCAUGGCUGUGUCACAACAUGGAGAAGCAGAAAUGGAACUGGCUGUGUGCAGAAGGAGUCAAAUACAUGGGUUGACUUUGCUUUAUAAUAACCUAUUCUCUCUAGAAGUAACUCGCUCCAGGAAGCCAGCAUUAAUCCCUUCUGAGGCAGUAUCACCCAGAUUAUCUUCCCCUACUUCUCCCUCUUAUAGGUUCCACCACCUCUCAGCAUCUCUACUCAGCUUGAAGGGCACUGUUGGCAGACACAGUCAAAGCACAUCCAAAAUAUAGCAAUAAUAUCUCCAAAUCACACUAAAUCUAGUUUCUAUAUUAACAAUUGUAAAUGGGUUUAAAUCAAUUAUAUAACUACUUUAUAUUUAUAUUAAAAUAAAAACUCUGUUGUAUGUAAUAUAUAAGAUAUACCUAAAAUGAAGUGACUCAGAAAGAUUUGUUCAACAACUAAAAUGAUGGGCAAAGACAUGAGAGACUGCAAACCAAAAAGUAGCAGAGGGUACAAUCUUAUUAUUAAGUAAGGUAAAAUAUAGAUGAAAAAGUUGAAUGACACAACAAGAAUACAAAUGUAAAUUUUAUAGGGAUAUAGAAGAGACAUAUAUUUAAGUUCUAAAUAACAAACAACUCUCAUAAAGGAGAAAGUAAGAUCGAUACAAGGAAAAUAUUCAAAUAUAUACUACUAUUAAGGAAUUUGAAUCCCCUUUUCCAGGACUAGACAGGUCAAUUGGACAAAAAUAAAUAUGAAACAGAAAACAUUACUGACAGUCAAAAACUAGAGAGCUGGGAGUGUAGUACAGUGGCAGAGCAUGUGCACAAAGCCCUGGAUUUGACACUUACCCUAGCCCAAAACAAAACAAAACAAAAUCAAAUAUUAUGGAGUAUAUUGGACUCAAUUCACUGAAAACAGACCAUGCCUCUAUCCAACUUUCAACAAGGCAUUCAUGAAAGUAAAUCAAAUAUUAUGGCAUAAAUCUUCAAUCAGUUUAGAAAAGUAGGAAUGAUAUAGAAAUUAUUCUUUGACUGUUAUGAAACAAGCUAGGUAACAGUAAGAAAAUCAGACAAGAUAAAAUGCUUCUUCAUGUGGAUACUUAAAGAUAUUGGCUCUUUCUUUUACCAGAUAGAAAAACAUAAACAAAAAUUUCUUGAAAAAUGAUAAUUAAAAUCACAUAAAUAUUUUGGGAUAUAGCUAAAGCAGUGCUUAUCACUUUAUAGCCUUAAGUACUCAUAUAAAAAAAGGAAAAAGGAAACCAAAUGAAUUAAGUAGAAACAUUAACAUCAAUCAAAUAAAAGCAGUAGAUAAUAAACAACAGAAACUGAUAAGUUAGAAAAAUAAAAUGUAAAAUGAAUAAAUUCAGAAGCUUUAGAAAAUUCCAGUUUGACAAACCAAGAAAGACAAAUAUAGAGAAGUUUAAAGUAAAGAAAAUAAAUAACAAAGACAAAAUUAAAGCAGUAACAAAGGGAAAAUAAUGAGAUUUUUUUUUGUUCAAUUUUAUGGAAAUAAAUUUGAAAACUUGGGUUACAUGAAUACUCCCUUGAAAAAUAUAACAUAUCAAAUUAAGCUCUAUUUUCACAGAAAAAUAGAGAAAGUUGUAAAAAGAUUACCACCCAAGCUCUAUGCCCAUAUUUAGGGUAAUGUGUAACAAAAUCUUUAAAGGAAAAAAAGAUAAUUCAAAAUUUAAAACAACUCAAUAAUACAAAAUAAUUCUUUUAGUGAAGUUAAUUAUGUUAAACUAUGAUAAUGCACAAAAAUAAAAGCUAUAGAUGAAUUUAUUUUAUAUUGAUGAAAACAUCCUAAAUAAAAUAUUGCAGAUUCUAGCACAAUUAAACACACAUACACUGGGAUUAUGUUAAAUAGAAUGGCUGGAAAUCCUUUUUGAAGUUCAUUAUAUUAGUGAUUAUUUUCUUUAUUUUGGUACCGGGGAUCAAACUCAGAUCCUUGAGCUUGCGAGGCAGGUGGCAGACCUACUGAGUUAAAUCCCUGGUCCUUAGUGAUUAUUUUCUAGGAAUGAUAAGUUCAAAUGAAUAAGCAGAACAAAAUACUAAUGACACUUACUUUUCCAGGACAAAGCCAUCAUAGUUGAUAGUGUCACAUAUUAUAUGCAUGUCAAUACUAGUAGGGAGACCCAUGCAGAAGUAUAUCAAGGAAUUAGUUGCUGAUUAGAGCUUGUAGCUUUUGCUUCCUCAGUUUACAAAUAGUUUCCUACUGGGUAGGAUCAUGAAUUUCCUUUAUAUUCCAAAAAUUCUAACUAUUUCUGUUGUUUUUUUGUAUAAUUUCAUUCUUUCUUGUCAUGUGAAUACCUCUCUCUUAUUUGGGGCUCCAAUCACUACUGAGGGAGAAUUAAACAAAUGUUUUGAGCUGGCAGUGUUCUUAACUUCAGUUAAACUGUAGUUCAACACAGUGUUCUCUGAAAUUGCUUUAAUUUUCUGACUAGGAACUGUGAAUAUUUUUAUAGACCAUCCAAAGAAGGCUUGAUUUUGUUACUGGUGAUAGGAAGGAGUAGAAAGGAAAAAAUGAAUUUAAGUGAACAGUUCAUUUCAAUUUUAAAGUCACUAAGCAACUGAAAGGGGGUAUUUAUGUUAGACUAUAGGAAGAACAAUGACUUUAUACCAUCCUCAAAAAACCACCCACAUACUCACAUCCAGCAUCUCUCAUUCUCCAGAGAAUGUGGAGAGAAAAAGGAAGAGAAAUGCAAAAUAGACACUUGAGUGAAAAAUCCUAGAAAAGACAUAUCUGUAUUAGUAGACUUCUUGACUGAAGACAGGAAGAUAAAGAUCAAAACACUCUGGAUCCUGGUUGUUAUGGCUUGUGUCUAGAUGUUCCCCCAAAGCCUCAUGUGCUCAUAGAUGGGGCUUCUUGGAGGCGGUUGGAUCUAGGGUUUGUGAAUAUGGAUUAAGGGUGUAUGAUACUAAAUUAAUUCACUGAUUGGUUUAGCAUAGUUUUGGGUGUGGAUAAUAGGAAGGCCCAUCCUAGAUUUAGGUAGCAACAUCCAAAAGGCUCAUAGCCUGUAUGGGAUAAAAAGGAAAGGGAAGUUUGCUUUGCUGCUUGCUGCCUUCUGCUUACCCUGCCAUGGACUGUUUCUCCUCUGUGAUGUCCCUCUGCCAUGCUACCCUUCCUUGGAGCCAGUCAACUAUGGAGUAAAACCUCUAAAAGUUGUGAAUGGAAAUAAAUGUUUCCUCCUUUA